This 329-nucleotide long non-coding RNA is filed under the name Bos mutus (wild yak). RNAcentral describes it as "lncRNA (ENSBMUG00000024045.1)". The record is from RNAcentral. Lineage: Eukaryota; Metazoa; Chordata; Mammalia; Artiodactyla; Bovidae.
CCAACGGCCCCUGAAGAAGUCGUUGGGAUCCGUUAAGUUCCAGCGGCACUUCGCUCAUUUUUCUCUAAGAUGGCAUGAAGCUGACUUAGUUGGAGAACGGGCUUAUGGGGAUCUCCCCUUUCAGGAAGAUGAGAACUGCUAUAAGGAUUCAGGAAAACCCCUGAGGCCCAGGAUGUGGAGAACUGAGCGCCCCGUCCCUCACCGCCGAUUCCAUUCUUCCAUCCCAAGGAGGAGAGCCACUCGAAUGUCCUGAAAGACACUGGGACUCCGAGGACAGGAUGGGUCAGUCAAGCCAUAACAGAGCAUGGAGCCAGUUCCUUUGUCCACCC